AAAAACUGUAUGACCAUUCGACCAACGACCCGCACCAAAUAUAUUUUAAUCGAAAUAUCUAACUUCAAUUUGUUCCUCAUUUCAGGCUUCCUGCUGGAUUUUUCAACUGGCCCUUAGGCCCUAAUUUCCAGGCCUUCGUGGCAGCCCAGCGAGACAGUAUGCUGAACAGAGAACCAGGGUCCAACGAGAACUACCACGCGGCUAGCAUGACAUCGACCUUAGAGAAUGGGAAGGUUGUCACCUCUAUCUACCAGAACGAUAAUGGAAAGAAGAAGGAAUUCACUAUCACUAACUAGACAGUGAAAGAUAAAAUCAUAUCUUGAAGAAUACUUAUGAAAAAGUCUUAAUACAUUCUAAUAAAACGGUUC
Spodoptera frugiperda (fall armyworm) is the source of this 368-nucleotide long non-coding RNA. RefSeq lists it as uncharacterized. The record is from RefSeq and is a predicted model, not a curated record. The transcript is spliced from 2 exons. NCBI's taxonomy places the organism in Eukaryota, Metazoa, Arthropoda, Insecta, Lepidoptera, Noctuidae.